CGUGCCAUGUCCGGGUGCUGCAAGUCCGUCUCCAUGCUGGCGAGCGUGUUGAACUAGCGGACUGGGCUCUCUUAUCCCAACACCUGAUGAGAUUAGAGCUUGAUGGUCUCGUUCUGGAACAGAUCUUUCUUGAUUUCUCAAGCUGCCCGGUGUUGGAGGAUCUUGUCCCAAUCCUUGUAACAUCUCAACAUCUCAGCCUGCUGAGUUUUGUUGGCAAUUUGUCCCAACUCACAUUUCUGCUCCAAGUCUUACUUCGCUGCAAUUGGAUGAUUACUUUGGCGUAAUUCCUAUUCUUGAAAAAAUGCCAUCGCUGGAAACAUCAAAGUCAAGCUGGGCCACAACGAUGAGGAUUACCGUGAUUUCUAUGAUAAAGGUGGUUCUGGAGAAUGUACUUGUUGCACGUGUUUGAUAUAUUAUGCUAAUGGUAGUAGAAAUAAUGUAUGUGUGCUUUUUGGAGGUCUGUCAAGUGCGACACGUUUGGAAUUGAAAGCUUCCCCAGAAAUGGUUACAUGGAAAAGGGGUCUGAGAUACUGCCCAAUAUUUAGUAAGUUAAAAACUUUGUUGCUCAAUGACUGGUGUUUGGUUGACCAGCAUACACUGGUUUGCUUUCUCCAACACACAAACAAUUCUUGAGAAACUCAUUCUUCAACUCAGUAAGAGAGCCAAACCUGCAGUGGAAAUGGAAGGCAGCGAUCUGGUGAUACAAUCACUUACACUGAGGCAACUUAAGAUUAUCGAAGUUAGAUGUUAGAUAAUUGAUGAAAGGGUUCACAGUAUUUUGAAGAUAUGGUGUUCCUACAGCAUAGGUCUUGAGCAAAUUAAUGUCCAAGUCCAACAGAUUUGAAAUGCACGCAAACGACUUCAGAACCAUACAAGAUUGGUGGGGCGGAAGUAGCAGGCAUUUUCUGAAGUGAGAACAACUUUUGAUGGUAUGGCAGUUUACUUUUGGUGGAAUACAUGGAAAGAGCUCAAUAAAAGAUAUGUUCAACUUUCAAGACCUGAAACUCAACGCAUACUAAGUCGCCCAUCAGACUUCGGAGGACAUCCAUCAAAGAAGGCUUGCUUAUGCGGAAGAACGGAAGGACUAGCUGCGCAAGUUUUUGUCAGAUUAGCUACUGUAUCUUCUUAGUUGUCAUGUAGGUAAUUCAUACCACAUUUUGGAUCUGCAAUCUAUUUAACUUCGGAAUAUUAUAACAGAAUUGUGAGACUUGACAGUCGUUACGUACUAGAGUGAGCAGAAUAAUAUACAACUAAACAUU
Long non-coding RNA from Phragmites australis (common reed), 1259 nucleotides. RefSeq lists it as uncharacterized. Lineage: Eukaryota; Viridiplantae; Streptophyta; Magnoliopsida; Poales; Poaceae. The record is from RefSeq and is a predicted model, not a curated record. The transcript has 4 exons.